AUAUAACCUUGGCAGAGAUGCCCGGGUAAUCUUUAAACGUGCGUCGUGAUAGGGAUAGCUCCUUGCAAUUUUGGAGCUUCAACGAGGAAUUCCUAGUAAACGCAAUUCAUCAAAUUGCAUUGAUUACGUCCCUGCCCUUUGUACACAC
This 148-nucleotide ribosomal RNA is filed under the name uncultured eukaryote. RNAcentral describes it as "partial 18S ribosomal RNA". It matches the Rfam family "Eukaryotic small subunit ribosomal RNA", at positions 1521 to 1669 of the family's 1831-position model. The record is from RNAcentral.